GUGCGGAAGGAUCAUUGUUAAAUUGAGUCAACGACUGAGAAUUUGUUAAUCACAUGGGAUAUCAUGCCAACAAAGAUUCAAUCGUGAUGGUGAGAGCUUUCUCUUGAUUUGCUUGUUUGUUGCAUGGACAUAGCCAUGCCAUCACUUCAUAAGAUGUUGGUGGGAGUUGGCAAACGAUUGUGGGCACGGCAUGUGUCAAGGAUAAAAAAUCGCUCAUUGCGAUGUGGCUUUAGUUUGGGAAUGCAAAGUAUACGACUCUCGACAACGGAUAUCUAGGCUCUUGCAUCGAUGAAGAACGCAGCGAAAUGCGAUACUUGGUGUGAAUUGCAGAAUCCCGCGAACCAUCGAGUCUUUGAACGCAAGUUGCGCUCGAGACCUUUUGGUUGCGAGCACGCCUGCCUGGGCGUCACCCCUUAUGUUGCUCUAUCCAACCAAUGCAUCUUGUGCAAUUGGUCUAUCGAUGGAGGCGAAGAUUGGUUCACCGUGCUUUUAAUAGUUGUUGUGAGCUGAAGUAUGAGACGCCGAUGGAGCAUGAUGAGUACACGACAAGUUGUGGGCAGAAUAAUUUUUUGGAUGCUUUCGAUGUCGUUCUCUCCACGGCAUAUGCUCGCACCUAGCGUGCCGCAGGGACCUUUGAAUGCAAUUGAUGUUCUCCCUGUGCACCCCAGGUCAGACGGGA
Molecule: ribosomal RNA, 679 nt
Filed under: Burmannia itoana
Lineage: Eukaryota; Viridiplantae; Streptophyta; Magnoliopsida; Dioscoreales; Burmanniaceae
Description: eukaryotic LSU rRNA
Rfam family: 5.8S ribosomal RNA (bases 254-409)
Source: RNAcentral